GUUUAAUUUUUGUCUUCACGGCGAUAAAUGUAUAUAUUUUUUUUAUUUUCACGACGAGUAAUACUGGUCUGCGCAACUUUUUAAACGACGAAAGGUGCUCACCUGCUUGUAGUCACUUCAAAAAGGAAAUCGUGCUGCAGGUGUAAACAGGCUGGCAUCAAAGGCAGGCCAGGUAGCCCGGCUCCGCAAUUGGGUUCACAAGGAUGGCCUGGUGAACAGUGUGCCCCCAGCUCUCGAUAUGACGACGCCUGAUUCCCCUGCAGUUCACGGGUGGCCGAUGACACCACAACGUCAAGAUAAGACUGGGAAGUCCAUCCACAGACAUCUCACGGACCAGCAGCUUUGUGGACAACAUGGACUUUGCCAUUCCAUCGCCAGUGGGGACUGACAUGACUCAGUCGGUUGGGUGCUGGUCAGCAGUGAAAGUCAUCCGAGGAAUGCAGCGCUUUGUGGCAACAGCGGAAAUUUCAGAGAAACGUGUGCAUAAAACAGGACUGCGCUGUUGGAGCCAGACUGAUCCAACCGGAGGAUAAGGUUAGGAGAGGGAUUCUCAAAAAGGAGACUGGAGGGAACAGCUGGGAGCCGUGUUUCGGCACAGGCACUCCUGUCCGGUAAACACGCCCCCAGACCUUUAAAACGUGACGUCCCAAGACCAGUUGUCCCUGCAGCGGUAUGGAUGAAAGGUGACGGCAAUGGACCAGAAGGUGGAGGAUGUUCAGAAGGUUCUGGAAGAGCGGUCCAGGCCCAAGCCUGAUUUCCUGCAGGGGAACAAAGAUCGCUUCAGUUCCAGGGUCACCUUUCUGAAGCAUCUGGGCAAUAGGCACGGACCAGGCCCAACGACGACAUCAACGCCAGCAGCCAUGUUGCCAGACCAGUCCAGCCAGGCGGCAGCCGCAGAAGCAAGAAUUUCACUCCCCGUUUUACCGUUGCUCCCAAAAAAUGCCAAUGGCAAUGACCUCUAACCUCAGCGAGUAGGGGAGGGGUGGGGAGUAGCUCUUUCUUGGCAUCUCAUAAAUUUCUUUUGAGGGCUGCAUGGAGAACCUUUGCUCCACUUGAGUCAUUCCUGGUUAUAAGUGAAAACUAUUCAGCCAGAGCAGUGCAGCAGGCCUGUGGCAUUUAGAAAUAGCAAUAAUAACCGACAGAUUAUUUAUGCAUCUUGGUUCAGAUGACAUUUAAAAAUUGUACAUGAAACCUGUGGGUGAUAGUUUCAGUGUGAAUGCAAUUGGCUCAAAGCUUUCACAAACAAACAAUCGAAUGAUAAAUCAACAGGAACGUAAAGGUCAGGAGGAAACCCUCAAGUGCAGACGCAUUUAAAAAGCAACCAUAACUAAUACUGAAAAAAUUAUCAUGAAAAAAAACAAAUAAAACUUUAUAUUUACACUGUUAACACUGGAAUUAAAAAUGCGCUACUUGAGAACUGUUUCUCAUACUUUGCAGGUUUGAUGUGUUGCUUUGUAUUAUAUAUUUUAUAACAGUGUUAAUGACACUCAGGCAUAAGCAUUUGCUUUCCAGUAGCCUUUUAGCCUGGAUAGCCUCCACAUAGCAAUGGAGCCAAACUGUAGGGACUAAUCAAGAGCUGAUUUAUUGCUACUGUUAUGCUAAUAACACGUAUCAAAACAGCCAUGAGAGGACUUGGUGCAGUCGAAAAUAGUCAGAGAAGACUGACAGUUUUACUGUGUUGUGCAGUCAGUUUCACUUGAGUGCCAGUAUUUAAACUUGUGGUUUUUUUCACAGUAGUAUUCCGGAAAAAAAAGAACCUACCUUCCAGGGUCUCGGGCAGUAGGGACCCAUCUGAAAUUAAUUUGCCCCGUUGAAUUUGUGAUUAUAUUUUCCUUUGCCAGUGAAUUAGGUGCCGAAUUCCUUCUCACAGGGCAAAAUUACUCAGAAUGAAUGAGUAAUGAAGAGAAAUAGUGGAAAAAUGUGUACAGUUUAAACGGUAGGGCUUUGAAAACCCCACAUUAUUCAAUGUAAACACAUUAUUCUGCAUGAUUGACUCGGAUAUGGCGCUACCACAGGGAGAGGUGAAGUCAUGGUCUUAAGCUCUGUGCCGGCAGGCACACACUCAGUGGAUUUCACUCCUGUUUUCAUUUUCGUUCUGAGGUGGUUAAAAAUGAAAAAGCAAUCGCAAAAAGAUAAAUGACGAGUCUUUCAUCACGAGACUCCGUGAAUAAGAACAAGACCGAUCGUGAAAAAAUAUUUGUGUGACAGUCAGAAGGUCUAUCUGCCAUUUCUUUAAAAAAAUCUUUCUGGAUUUUUGUUUUGCAGGUGGUCUGCAUUUGCCACCAGGUGCUCUUGAAAAUGAAACACAAGCUGUUGUUCAGAGAAGAUCGCCGGUAACGUUCUGCUGUCCGUGCCAGUAACAUUUCUCUGCAUUUGGUUCAAGGCCAAAAAAAAGAAAAAAAAAUUCCUGUGGAUGUCCCAAAAACAACAACCUCAGAAGUGCAGCUAAUCCCUGGAGAUGGAAAAUGUAGGUGGGCGGGGUUUAGCGGAAGAGGCCGUGUUUGAGUUAUACAGUGCCGGGCACUGUAGGAUCACAAACUUAUUCCUCUGUGUUUUUUUUAAAUUCUGUUUUCUGUCACUAAUGGGAGACCUUGAGAGGGCCCUGUCUGCAGGUGCAGCCUGUAGCCGCCAAGCCGCACGGCCCUGCUUUCAUGUGGAGGUCCCUGUGAGGGACGGGGCAACUUCAAAAGGCGGUUUUGAAGUCCUGACACUGGAGCGGCCGGCCCCCCCCCCAGCCCCGCCCCUCCCCCCCCCCUCCUGGUCCGCUGGACGUGACGUUGCUGGUUCCACAGACGGGGAGCGGCCUUUUCGGUGGCAGCCGGGGGGGGGGGUGGGUUUGACUGGGUUUCCUGGUAGAGGUGAGGCCACCUGUGUGUGAGUCACGGCCGUGGAACCGCAGGUGUUCCUCAUCCAGAGUCCGUGUUGCAGAGGGUGCCAGAGGGCCUUGGUGGUGCAUCGAGUUAGUACGUGUCCGUGUUCUUGUCCUGCCCCGAAUCAGCUUGUCCCCCUGGCGUGUUCUCCUCUCUGGGUAAGAAUGACUCCCGUCGCCUGCUCACUGGCCGCGACACAGUGGGAUGAGGUAAACCAUAAGCUUCUCCCAGCUGCUAAAUAAACAGGGUUUUUGUUAUUUUUCCUCUGUGCCAGUGUGCCUGUCAGUAUUUUCCAUUCACGUAUACUUUAUGAUCUCACUGGUGACAUUUGUGCUAAUAGGGGGGGGAGAGGGGAACUUGCAGGGUACGAGUACCUCUCUCUCAGGGUCACUUCCUGUGUCUGGGGUCACUUACAGUGUGCCAGCAGGCCAGAGAGGAGCAUCCUCUUAAAAAGGGCCAUCGCUGGAUAGCGGGCCCCCCGUCCCAGAGGGCCGCAGUGUCUGCUGGUUUUCGGUGUGUUUCUGCUCUUAAGUGACUCGGUUAGGGCCCCCAGUUUGACUGAAGAGUUCGCACACCUUGUUUCCAAGCCCUGAAUUGGCCGUUGAUUGAAGCAAAGCCACAGAAGCGUGCAGAAGCGUCCUUAGAUUUAACACCCGGAGCGCAACGCUGCUAACCUUAACCCUUUAACAUGCAGAACUCAGCUGUUGGGUUCCUACCCAGCCCCUCUCCCACACGUCCACCCCCCCCUUCCCCUUCCCCCUCCCCCUCCUGUGCAGCUGGGUCCUGUAAAAGGGGCUACCCUCCUCAUUUGAAAGGGGAUAUGUAUGUGAACAGGUGUGGGUGGAGUCGGGGGUGGGGGGGGCGAGGGGUCAGGGAUGCAAACAGGCUCUGGGGCCUCUCUCUCUCUUGCCCCCGGCGCAUCUUUUAGGGGCCCCUUUUAUAGCGGAGGCCUUUUUGCCUCCCGAUGCCAGUGAAAGCUCUUCCUGGUUACGUGAGAGGGACCGAGUCGUUGUCAUAAAACUUGGAUAAAGUGCACUAUUGAUGGAGUGGGAUGGCCAUCCGUCGCUGGCCCCAUUUUGAUGAAGGGGCUCAGUUCAGCCCGAGCGCGUCCGCAGCGUCCUCACUGAGGCCCUUGUGUUGCCCCGAGAGUUAUAGGGCUGAUGGCUGCUUCCCUCAGCACUUAGGGCAAGAAAUCAUGUUCCUGCAUCCGCUGACAAGGCGGCAGAUACAAGCCCGGCUUUGCUGGGUUUAUCGGUCAGUCGCCUGUUGCGCCGCACCACCCUGGGGAGGCGAAUCACUUGGAGGGUUGGGGGUUAGUUUGACCUUUGACCCUGGAAAUUUCCUCCAGCCAUAUGCCCUGCGCUGUGGCGAGGCUCGGUGGCUUCGAGCUGGCGAUGGAGCUCUUUGCUAUUGCUGGGAACAAUGGCUGUCACGGUCGUAAAAAGAGGCCCCGCGGUGCAGCCUCUUCCUGGGUCCAAAGGUCAGUUAUGAGUUUUGGCUGGGCAGAGACGGCACUCUCCGGCCAGCCUGUGGCAGCAGUAGGCCCAGACCCUGAAAGCACACAAGGGGGAGGGGGGAGGGGCGGGGGGCGGGGACAGACCCUCUCCCAGUGAAGUAGGUCAUGGCACAGAGCUAUUUUCCUCCAGACAGACAGACAGACAGACAGACAGACAGACAGAGAGCAUUCCAGGCUGGACGGCCUUCAGCCAGCCGGGGCGGUAUUUGGGGCACGGGAACAGCUGUGGCGGCCCCUCGCUACUGGUGGAGCCGGAGCGGCGGGCUGCCAGAGAGAGCGGUCUGGGCCGGGCCUGGGCGACUGGGAGCUACACCUGUGCCUGCGGAACUCCGAGCCUCGGGGCUGUGUCUGUCUGGCCCCAACUACACCCCCCCUGCCCCCCCCCCCCAAAACCCCCACCCCGUCUUUUUCCCACUACACGACAAAUGCUAUCACGGCGCUGAGCCAUUUUUCUGCUUAUGUCAUAGCCCUCCAGCGACCGCAGGAUGGCGACCGACGUUGUCAUCGAACCCGCUCUCCCCAGCUGUCUCUCGCCUGUAAUGUUCAGAGAAGCAAAUGUGGCCAUUUGUGUUUUUAUUUAAAGCCAGCCCUUGUUGCCUCAGGAGUCCCUUAUUCAAACCAUGUCACCCCACCCAACCCUAACCCUAACCCCCCCACCCGUAAAUGCGUCUCAUCAACCCCAGGCUUAGGCUAGGGAAAUCAGUCAUGUGACCAGAUCAGAAAUCCUUAAAGACAUUGACCCUGAAAGGGUAACAUGGUAAGCAAACCAGAAACAUGCAGUUAAAUAAUUUUGCUAUACAAAUAAAAAUUGAUUGAUUGAUUUAUCAUUUUUGCUGGUUCACAGCAGCACGUUUUGUGAGCCAAUCCUUUUUCAUUUUGGAUAUUUAAAUUACAUAAAUGAUGUCAUUUUUGUUGACAAAUUAUUUUUUUCUCCUUUCUUCCAGAUUUGUUGGAACACCCAGUUGGAACUCUUGGCCUCUCCCAUUGCCGUUUCCGUUGACUCUGCAGCAAUCCAAUCCAACAUCAGGGGGAACUGCUGAACUGCUGGGAGCACUUGCAGUCACAGUCCGAAUGACUGAAACCCUUCCUCCCUGGCGUCAGCCAUUUCCAGAGGAACUCAGCUGACAGCCGCAAAUGGGGGAGUGGAUGAUUUCCCAUCAUGCACCGGUGCAGCAUGUUGACUGUGGUUUUUCCUGACUCCCACCUGCGUGAUGAUCGUACCGUAGCAUCAGGGCACUUAACCACUGCCCCGGAGGUGUUGAAAACUGUGUUCCCUGGAAGAGACACUCGGAUGAGCUCUUCUUGGAAGGAGACAAGACUUGGCUUGAAGUCUCUUAGCCGCAGAUGGGCUGUCAAAACCUCUCUUCACAACCGUCACUGAAUUGCCAAAAUCACACGGCCGAGGAGGGUGAUCUUGCAACCUCCUGCUUUCAAGGUUCUGUGUCGGCCCCCUUGCCAGUGCAUUCGGCCUGAAAAUUUCAAAUCAGAUGCAAGCGGUGGUUAGUCAUCCACCAGCAGCGGCUGUUCUUUGAUGGCGGCUGCACACGCGGCUCCAGGAGAAGUGCUCCACACUUCCCCUCUCCACACAAUGCCGCGGUUUUGCAUAUUUGCUGCGUGUUUUUAAUACCGAAGCAGAGCAAGUGAAAGCGAAAAAAUUCAUGAAAACCGACUUCUGACGUUUCACGUUUCCAUCCUGUGUGUGGCUUUUUGUCUUUUUGUGUGUCUGAGCAAACUUAGGGAACGACAACAAAAUACAGACAUCUGUGUGUUCAGGAGCUGUACAUACUGAGUAUGUACAGCUAAAUGUAACUAUUGAUGUCUGGAAGUUAAGAUGCGUUUACUAGUUAUAGAUGUCGAGAUUAUUUAUGUAUAAAGCAGAACAUAACUAAUUUUACCGCUCUACUCUAAUGCCCUGUAUUCCUGUGCAUUCUGUCAUUUUAAACUUCCCUUUAAAUGCGUAUUUUCAGCAGUGCAGAGGUUCCUAGACAGGGUCAUUGUGUACUACUGAAACCAGACACAACAGAACACUGAGGCAGCUCGGCACAAUGCACUUCAAUACAAUGUAAAACACAACAGAACAAUGGAACUGGCUGAAUUGGUGAGACCGGAGAGGAAAAGAGGGGAGGGAGGGGGCAGGAGGGUGAGAGAGAGAGAGACAGGGAGAGAGAGGAUAACUGUGUCCAUAUACAUUAUACAAAUAAUUAUAAUUGCUGUCACCAGUUGGCACUAUCUCCAGACUUUACUACUAACUUGCCAAACUACGUUUGUGAAGCGAAAAACAGUGCCGCAGUUGCCCUUAUUUGUACAUGAAAGUUAAAAAGAAAAUGUUUAUUGAAUCCAAGCCACUGUUUUGUUUUAAAAUGAGUAAAGCCAUUUCAAACUGAAAAUGGAUAAUGUAGAGAUUAAAAAACUAAAAACAAAUAAAAUGAAAAUGAGAUGUAAGGGACUGAUAAGAGAGAAAUGAGAGACUAAGAAAAACUGACAGAGGAGAAACCCGAUUGUUGUGAACAAGCAUUCCUCAGAACCGUCAGAAGUAGCGCAGGUGUCUUCCUGUUUGUGCUCUGCUGUUAAACAUUCUUUAACCCUGUGAAGAGUAGGUUUUUGGAAUGUUUGUUUUUUCAAAAUUCUAAGCGAGUGUUCUAGAACUCCAUUGCUUUCAGCUACCAGUAGUGAUUAUUCUAUUGGCAUUGGAAUGUUUAAGAACAUUCUUAUCACAUAUUUGUGACCUCACACCUUAGCACCUUAAGGGUUAACCAGUAGAGUCGACCCAGAGCAUUGACAAGUCUGCUAAAUUGACUUACACAUCUAGUUUCCACACCAGUACACAAUCGCAUCCAAUCUCAAAAAGCACUAAGACCAACACUUGCCCAUUUUGGAUAAAAUUGGACAUCCCAGUUCUACACAAUAUCCAUGCAUAAAUGAGCCGCAGGUCUGUUUUGGCCAUUUAUGGUUCUCUGUUAUUCAGAUGCAUUAGAUUCUUAUUCUCCUCAACCCUUACCCCCUGUCCCCUUUAAGCUGGUAGUUUAUACGAUGGUGUUUUCGUGAAGUUGUGUUGCUAUGCUGGGUAAGACCUGGCUACAGUCAAUAUUUGUCCUUGCAUAUUGACGCCCAAUUGCAUGCUGUUUUUUUUUCUUUUCUUAGCAAGUUCAGCAAUAACCAAAAAGUAACUUGCCUAACUUGUUUAGUGGUUGCGUUUAUUUGAGUCAAACUCAAGGACAAGUGGUGAUUGGAAACCAGGCCAUGGUUACACGUGCUCACAGUUUUGGUCAAACUUCGUUAUCCUCCCAGAGAUACAGACAUUUAGGACUCGAUUUAGAACUUAUAGAAGGUGACACCGGGCCAAGUGAGACCCCCUAGCCCGAACCCUAACCAUUGCAGCAGUGAGGGGCUUUUGCAACACUGUCCUACAUGUGCAAUGCCAGUGAAAUAUCCUGGUGCAAAGGGCUGGCCAAGACAGGCCGCUUCGGUGCCGCAACUACAGCUGGCAACUUACACAACAGGAAGCUGCCACGGAGUUUCCUAACCACGGCGCACCUCGCACGCUGAAAGUCUGUUUGCAUACGGCUUUAUCUUCCUUUUUUCCCUCCAUUUGAAGAAGAAAACAAAUUUGAUUUUCAGAAUGUACAAGGGCGAGGAACGAAGCCAAAGAAACUCGCAGGUUCUCGUCAUGAGAAGUGCACGGUGUGCGCACAAGCCUUUCAUAUCCUUUUUGUCUCAUUUUUUUUUAUUCAGCUGAAUUUUUUGUUCAUUUCGGUAAAUUAUUUUUUAUGGGAGCAUUUUGUAGAAUAGGUGUGUUCUUCCACGGUGUUCCUGCAUUUUCUUUGGGUGCCUGGCAACAGUAAUCUAUAGGUGACGACAUCUUUCCGUCUUCAUGC
This is a long non-coding RNA of Anguilla rostrata (American eel), 8261 nucleotides long. RefSeq lists it as uncharacterized. The record is from RefSeq and is a predicted model, not a curated record. NCBI's taxonomy places the organism in Eukaryota, Metazoa, Chordata, Actinopteri, Anguilliformes, Anguillidae. The transcript is spliced from 13 exons.